AUUGAACGCUGGCGGCAUGCCUUACACAUGCAAGUCGAACGGCAGCACGGGAGCAAUCCUGGUGGCGAGUGGCGAACGGGUGAGUAAUACAUCGGAACGUGCCCAAUCGUGGGGGAUAACUACGCGAAAGCGUAGCUAAUACCGCAUACGAUCUACGGAUGAAAGCAGGGGAUCGCAAGACCUUGCGCGAAUGGAGCGGCCGAUGGCAGAUUAGGAGUUGGUGAGGUAAAGGCUCACCAAGCCUUCGAUCUGUAGCUGGUCUGAGAGGACGACCAGCCACACUGGGACUGAGACACGGCCCAGACUCCUACGGGAGGCAGCAGUGGGG
This 328-nucleotide ribosomal RNA is filed under the name uncultured bacterium. RNAcentral describes it as "bacterial SSU rRNA". It matches the Rfam family "Bacterial small subunit ribosomal RNA", at positions 30 to 359 of the family's 1533-position model. The record is from RNAcentral.